This 497-nucleotide ribosomal RNA is filed under the name uncultured bacterium. RNAcentral's name for it is "partial 16S ribosomal RNA". It matches the Rfam family "Bacterial small subunit ribosomal RNA", at positions 28 to 507 of the family's 1533-position model. The record is from RNAcentral.
GAUGAACGCUGGCGGCGUGCCUAAUACAUGCAAGUCGAGCGAACAGACGAGGAGCUUGCUCCUCUGACGUUAGCGGCGGACGGGUGAGUAACACGUGGAUAACCUACCUAUAAGACUGGGAUAACUUCGGGAAACCGGAGCUAAUACCGGAUAAUAUAUUGAACCGCAUGGUUCAAUAGUGAAAGACGGUUUUGCUGUCACUUAUAGAUGGAUCCGCGCCGCAUUAGCUAGUUGGUAAGGUAACGGCUUACCAAGGCAACGAUGCGUAGCCGACCUGAGAGGGUGAUCGGCCACACUGGAACUGAGACAAGGUCCAGACUCCUACGGGAGGCAGCAGUAGGGAAUCUUCCGCAAUGGGCGAAAGCCUGACGGAGCAACGCCGCGUGAGUGAUGCAGGUCUUCGGAUCGUAAAACUCUGUUAUUAGGGAAGAACAAAUGUGUAAGUAACUAUGCACGUCUUGACGGUACCUAAUCAGAAAGCCACGGCUAACUACGUG